GACGAACGCUGGCGGCGUGCUUAACACAUGCAAGUCGUACGGUAAGGCCCUUUCGGGGGUACACGAGUGGCGAACGGGUGAGUAACACGUGAGUAACCUGCCCACAACUUUGGGAUAACGCUAGGAAACUGGUGCUAAUACUGGAUAUGUGCUCCUGCUGCAUGGUGGGGGUUGGAAAGCUCCGGCGGUUGUGGAUGGACUCGCGGCCUAUCAGCUUGUUGGUAGGGUAGUGGCCUACCAAGGCGGCGACGGGUAGCCGGCCUGAGAGGGUGACCGGCCACAUUGGGACUGAGAUACGGCCCAGACUCCUACGGGAGGCAGCAGUGGGGAAUAUUGCACAAUGGGCGCAAGCCUGAUGCAGCAACGCCGCGGGCGGGAUGACGGCCUUCGGGUUGGAAACCGCUUUCAGCAGGGACGAAGCUUUUUGUGACGGUACCUGCAGAAGAAGCACCGGCUAACUACGUG
Molecule: ribosomal RNA, 465 nt
Filed under: uncultured bacterium
Lineage: Bacteria
Description: partial 16S ribosomal RNA
Rfam family: Bacterial small subunit ribosomal RNA
Source: RNAcentral